UGGGGAAUAUUGGGGCAAUGGGGGAAACCCUGACCCAGCAACGCCGCGUGAAGGAAGAAGGCCUUCGGGUUGUAAAACUUCUUUUUACCAGGGACGAAGGACGUGACGGUACCUGGAGAAAAAGCAACGGCUAACUACGUGCCAGCAGCCGCGGUAAUACGUAGGUUGCGAGCGUUGUCCGGAUUUACUGGGUGUAAAGGGCGUGUAGGCGGAGAAGCAAGUUGGGAGUGAAAUCUAUGGGCUCAACCCAUAAACUGCUCUCAAAACUGUUUCCCUUGAGUAUCGGAGAGGCAAGCGGAAUUCCUAGUGUAGCGGUGAAAUGCGUAGAUAUUAGGAGGAACACCAGUGGCGAAGGCGGCUUGCUGGACGACAACUGACGCUGAGGCGCGAAAGCGUGGGGAGCAAACAGGAUUAGAUACC
This 420-nucleotide ribosomal RNA is filed under the name uncultured bacterium. RNAcentral's name for it is "bacterial SSU rRNA". It matches the Rfam family "Bacterial small subunit ribosomal RNA", at positions 355 to 786 of the family's 1533-position model. The record is from RNAcentral.